ACCAAGGCGAUGAUCAGUAGCUGGUCUGAGAGGAUGAUCAGCCACACUGGGACUGAGACACGGCCCAGACUCCUACGGGAGGCAGCAGUGAGGAAUUUUCCGCAAUGGGCGAAAGCCUGACGGAGCAAUGCCGCGUGAAGGAUGAAGGCCUAUGGGUUGUAAACUUCUUUUCUCAGAGAAGAAUUCUGACGGUAUCUGAGGAAUAAGCAUCGGCUAACUCUGUGCCAGCAGCCGCGGUAAGACAGAGGAUGCAAGCGUUAUCCGGAAUGAUUGGGCGUAAAGCGUCUGUAGGUGGCUUAAAAAGUCUCCUGUCAAAGAUCAGGGCUUAACCCUGGGCCGGCAGGAGAAACUCUUAGGCUCGAGUUUGGUAGGGGCAGAGGGAAUUCCCGGUGGAGCGGUGAAAUGCGUAGAGAUCGGGAGGAACACCAAAGGCGAAAGCACUCUGCUGGGCCACAACUGACACUGAGAGACGAAAGCGAGGGGAGCAAAAGGGAUUAGAUACCCCUGUAGUCCUCGCCGUAAACGAUGGAUACUAGAUGUUGGAUAGGUUAAAGCAUUCAGUAUCGUAGCU
RNAcentral lists this ribosomal RNA (571 nucleotides) under Microcystis aeruginosa NIES-88. Its description in RNAcentral is "bacterial SSU rRNA". It matches the Rfam family "Bacterial small subunit ribosomal RNA", at positions 267 to 853 of the family's 1533-position model. Lineage: Bacteria; Bacillati; Cyanobacteriota; Cyanophyceae; Chroococcales; Microcystaceae. The record is from RNAcentral.